AAACGGGUGGUAAUGCCGGAUGCUCCAGUUGAUCGCAUGGUCUUCUGGGAAAGCUUUCGCGGUAUGGGAUGGGGUCGCGUCCUAUCAGCUUGACGGCGGGGUAACGGCCCACCGUGGCUUCGACGGGUAGCCGGCCUGAGAGGGCGACCGGCCACAUUGGGACUGAGAUACGGCCCAGACUCCUACGGGAGGCAGCAGUGGGGAAUAUUGCACAAUGGGCGCAAGCCUGAUGCAGCGACGCCGCGUGAGGGAUGGAGGCCUUCGGGUUGUAAACCUCUUUUAUCGGGGAGCAAGCGWGAGUGAGUUUACCCGUUGAAUAAGCACCGGCUAACUACGUGCCAGCAGCCGCGGUAAUACGUAGGGUGCAAGCGUUAUCCGGAAUUAUUGGGCGUAAAGGGCUCGUAGGCGGUUCGUCGCGUCCGGUGUGAAAGUCCAUCGCUUAACGGUGGAUCCGCGCCGGGUACGGGCGGGCUUGAGUGCGGUAGGGGAGACUGGAAUUCCCGGUGUAACGGUGGAAUGUGUAGAUAUC
RNAcentral lists this ribosomal RNA (529 nucleotides) under Bifidobacterium longum subsp. suillum. RNAcentral describes it as "bacterial SSU rRNA". Lineage: Bacteria; Bacillati; Actinomycetota; Actinomycetes; Bifidobacteriales; Bifidobacteriaceae. The record is from RNAcentral.